GACGAACGCUGGCGGCGUGCUUAACACAUGCAAGUCGAACGGACAGGCCCUGCUUUUGUGUGUUGCUCGAGUGGCGAACGGGUGAGUAACACGUGAGUAACCUCCCCUUGACUUUGGGAUAACUCUAGGAAACUGGGGCUAAUAUCGGAUAUGAUCUUCUGCUGCAUGGUUGUGGUUGGAAAGUUUCGGCCGUUGGGGCUGUACUCGCUGCUUAUUAGCUUGUUUGUGUAGUAGUUGCUUACCAAGCUUUUGACGGGUAGCCGACCUGAGAGUGUGACCGGGCGCAGUGGGACUGAGAUACGGAGCAGGAUGCUAUGGGAAGCAGUGGGCGGGAAUAUUGCACAAUGACCGGGAGUCAGAGGCAGCAGCGCCGCGAGCGGGAAGACGGCCUUCGGGUUAUAAACAGCUUUGGCAUGUGACGAAGCGAGAGUGACGGUACUGGGUAAGAAAGCACCGGCUAACUACGUG
This 468-nucleotide ribosomal RNA is filed under the name uncultured bacterium. Its description in RNAcentral is "partial 16S ribosomal RNA". It matches the Rfam family "Bacterial small subunit ribosomal RNA", at positions 28 to 507 of the family's 1533-position model. The record is from RNAcentral.